Molecule: ribosomal RNA, 253 nt
Filed under: uncultured bacterium
Lineage: Bacteria
Description: partial 16S ribosomal RNA
Rfam family: Bacterial small subunit ribosomal RNA
Source: RNAcentral
UACGGGGGGGGCAAGCGUUGUUCGGAAUUACCGGGCGUAAAGGGCUCGUAGGCUGCCCACUAAGUCAGACGUGAAAUCCCUCGGCUUAACCGGGGAACUGCAUCUGAUACUGGAUGGCUUGAGUUCGGGAGAGGGAUGCGGAAUUCCAGGUGUAGCGGUGAAAUGCGUAGAUAUCUGGAGGAACACCGGUGGCGAAGGCGGCAUCCUGGACCGACACUGACGCUGAGGAGCGAAAGCCAGGGGAGCAAACGGG